UUUAGGAUUUAUGAUUUAGGGUUUAGGGUUUAGAGUUUAGGGUUUAGGGUUUAAAGUUUAGGGUUUAAGGUUUAGGGUUUAGAGUUUAGAGUUUAGGGUUUAGGGUUUAGGGUUUAGGGUUUAGAGUUUAGAGUUUAGGGUUUAGGGUUUAGGAUUUAGAGUUUAGAGUUUAGGAUUUAGGGUUUAGGGUUUAGGGUUUAGAGUUUAGGGUUUAGGGUUUAGGGUUUAGAGUUGAGAAAUGAGGUUUUGGGGAUAAGAUUUCAAAUUUUGAAAAAUAAAAAAAUUAAAAUUUUCAAAGAAUAAACUUAGAAAGGUGCUAUUUUGGUCAUUUUAGUUUUUGAGUGCUAUUUUUAUGAUAUAAACUUAGAAAAUUGCUAUUUUGGAGAUUUGCGCUUUAAACAACCGCGAUAAUGAUGAUCUAAAAAAAACAGCCAAAUAUGAAAGCUACAGGUCCUAGUGUUUCUAGGAAUUAUAGUAAUGGUCAUGAAGAUAAUCAUAUCAUAUACAAUACUAAAAGUAACAUAUCCUCAACUGUGGUUGUGCCACGUAGGCAAAAAUAUUCAAAA
RNAcentral lists this long non-coding RNA (566 nucleotides) under Brassica napus (rape). Its description in RNAcentral is "long non-coding RNA (BNAP_LNC026328)". The record is from RNAcentral. Lineage: Eukaryota; Viridiplantae; Streptophyta; Magnoliopsida; Brassicales; Brassicaceae.